Molecule: ribosomal RNA, 436 nt
Filed under: uncultured bacterium
Lineage: Bacteria
Description: bacterial SSU rRNA
Rfam family: Bacterial small subunit ribosomal RNA
Source: RNAcentral
AACGAACGCUGGCGGUAUGCUUAACACAUGCAAGUCGAACGGGUAUAGCAAUAUAUCAGUGGCAAACGGGUGAGGAAUAUAUAGGAAUCUCCCCAGCAGUAAGGAAUAACUUCGAGAAAUCGAAGCUAAUGCCAUAUAUCACCCUUCGGGGGAAAGAUUUAUCGCUGUUGGAUGAGCCUAUAUCGGAUUAGCUAGUUGGUAGGGUAAUGGCCUACCAAGGCAAUGAUCCGUAGCUGGUCUGAGAGGAUGAUCAGCCACACUGGAACUGAGACACGGUCCAGACUCCUACGGGAGGCAGCAGUGGGGAAUAUUGGACAAUGGGCGCAAGCCUGAUCCAGCAAUUCCGCGUGGGUGAAGAAGGUCUUCGGAUUGUAAAGCCCUUUCGUUGGGGACGAUGAUGACGGUACCCAAAGAAGAAGCCCCGGCUAACUUCGUG